CCUACGGGAGGCAGCAGUGAGGAAUAUUGGACAAUGGGCGCAAGCCUGAUCCAGCCAUGCCGCGUGCAGGAUGACGGUCCUAUGGAUUGUAAACUGCUUUUGCACAGGAAGAAACAACAUUACGUGUAAUGUCUUGACGGUACUGUGAGAAUAAGGAUCGGCUAACUCCGUGCCAGCAGCCGCGGUAAUACGGAGGAUCCAAGCGUUAUCCGGAAUCAUUGGGUUUAAAGGGUCCGUAGGCGGUUUAGUAAGUCAGUGGUGAAAGCCCAUCGCUCAAACGGUGGAACGGCCAUUGAUACUGCUAGACUUGAAUUAUUAGGAAGUAACUAGAAUAUGUAGUGUAGCGGUGAAAUGCUUAGAGAUUACAUGGAAUACCAAAUUGCGAAAGGCAGGUUACUACUAAAUGGAUUGACGCUGAUGGACGAAAGCGUGGGUAGCGAACAGGAUUAGAUACCCUGGUAGUCCACGCCGUAAAACGAUGGAUACUAGNUGUGGAGNGNUNUNGUGNAGAGAAGAGAUAAGUAAUACCACCNGGAGGUACGUUCGCGAAGAAGUAGAAACGUAACAAAUAAGAAGUUAGUAGGACGUUAGAGAGAGCGAGGACGACACGAGGGAGGAGG
RNAcentral lists this ribosomal RNA (620 nucleotides) under uncultured bacterium. RNAcentral describes it as "bacterial SSU rRNA". The stretch from base 1 to 532 matches the Rfam family "Bacterial small subunit ribosomal RNA", at positions 338 to 873 of the family's 1533-position model. The record is from RNAcentral.